GUCGUUUUGUCCGAGUGGUUAAGGAGUGAGACUUGAAAUCUCAUGGGCUCUGCCCACGCAGGUUCAAACCCUGCAGGCGACG
Non-coding RNA from Parasitella parasitica, 82 nucleotides. NCBI's taxonomy places the organism in Eukaryota, Fungi, Mucoromycota, Mucoromycetes, Mucorales, Mucoraceae. The record is from the annotation of a GenBank genome assembly.